AAAGGCAGAGGAGUUGGAGGAUCCUCACAGCCCUUAAAGCAGCCUAGGUGACUAUAAUUUUAGAAGCUGAUUCAUCUGCACUGAUUCUGCAGGACUGGAAGAAAAAGGGAGCAUCUAACAAUUUAGCAGGUUACUCUGUCCCUUCUGAGCUUGUCUAUUAACAGCUCAUUGAAUGGAGGAGGAAGAAGAAACUAGUGAGACCUCUCUUGGUAUUGUUCAGCAGUGACCCCGGCUUUCUCAGAUUGGUGGCCAAUGCUCACUAAACAGCCUUUGUCAGUACAUGUUGUUUUGCUGGAUAAUAGUAUAUUGUGCUCGCAGCCGUCUCUAUCAGCAGCAGGUAACAAUAAGCUGGGAAAUAAGUCUCCCGUGUGGCAUGGUAAGGUCAUAUGAAUGAUGUAUAAAAAUCCAAGAGAAAGCUCGUUAGGAUGGUCUGUGCAGUGCAAGAAGACCUGUGCCAUCUUGAGAGACCUUUGUCCACACUUCCGCUGUGCAUUGUUCAGGAUCCUCAUCACUGCUGUGUCCUCCAGCUUGAAAUGGACAUAGGGAAUGAGGAAGUUUUACCCCUCAAUAUAUGCUGUAUGAUUUUCUGGCUGUAUGUCCACUGCUCAUAGCCUGUAUUUCAUGAAAGGUGAGUUUUGUUGAGGUAACCAGGCUCGGUAAAUCCCAGGACAGAUGCACCCAGAGACUGCCCACACCAUGGGCCAUGCCCAUCACUCCUGUAGCUGUAGAAGGCUAUGAGAAUAUGUUGCAAUGAGAAAUGUGAUGUUGAGAGGCCUGGAUCCUGCUCCAGCAUUGCUGUUCCCCUGUCCCUGUGCUGAGAUUCUCCGUUGCUGUGCCAUGCAAUGAGCCUGCUCACCCUCUGCUUUCAAAUGGAUUAUGUAAAAUCUAUAGUAUUUUACUACUGAUGGCUGAGAUUUCUUUGACUUUUCUUAGUGUUUUAUAUGGCAACACCAGCACCGAGUUGGUGGCCCAAACAGUGUUUAAUGAAGGGAAUCAUGCUUGGCACAGAUUUCCCCACUACCAAAACCCGACGCACUGCACUUACAGCCCGUUCUGUUACAGAAACAUCGUGGCUUCAGCUUAUUUUUUUGCUGCGCUAAGUGUUGCAGAUCUUGUGUUAUCUCUCAGACAGACUGACAAAGCGGCAGAACGGAGAAAUCAGGUUUCAGAGCGAGUGAUUUAUGGAACACGAACUUCUCCGAGCGCGCAUUGAGACUCCCCCGUGUGGCACGAUGCCGAUGCCGCUGCCGGCUCAGCCCGCCGGGCUGGGGCUGCCCGUGCUCCCAGCGACUAAAUGCGGCCCAGAGAACACUCCCAUGCUCAGAAGUGGCCGUCAGUUUGCAAUUAAUGUUGACCGCUAGAGCAUAAUGUUGUUCCGUUGUCUUUCUGCUGCAGGGGAAAAAGAAAAAAAAGAGUGUAAUAUUUUACUAACUGUGAUGCUCUGGGAAGAAUUAUGAGGUCUCAUAUUUCUUUACUAUGAAUUAGUCUUAACAACUUCAUUCUCAGUUUCAUUUUCCCCCAACAAUGUAUCUCAGGAUGAUACCUUUAAUAGAUGUUAAAAUCUAUUUGGACAUCAUUAGUUAUUUUAAAACUUGGCAUUAUAAAUGCAUGUGGAUUAACAGAACAAUUCAAGGUUCUAAACACAUGUUAAUUGUUCUCCUCUUUAGGUUACUUAUGAUAAACAUUCUCGCUUUUUGUCUUAGUUGUUUUCCGUUCAGAAUGGAAUAUUUUUACCCAAUACCUCCAUAAAAAAUGUUAAUUAAAAUUUCUUCUGCUAUCUAUUGUAUAUCUUAGAUAUAUUUUCUU
Pipra filicauda (Wire-tailed manakin) is the source of this 1806-nucleotide long non-coding RNA. RefSeq lists it as uncharacterized. The transcript has 3 exons. The record is from RefSeq and is a predicted model, not a curated record. NCBI's taxonomy places the organism in Eukaryota, Metazoa, Chordata, Aves, Passeriformes, Pipridae.